CAGUACCCCCCGAACCCACCCAAGGCUGCCUCCCGGACCCGCCAGGCAAAGACGGAACCUCUGCUGCAUGUGUUUCAAGCAUCACAGGAUCUUCUCAUUCCCAGAGGUUAGUGAAGAUCAGAA
Molecule: long non-coding RNA, 123 nt
Organism: Dermochelys coriacea (leatherback sea turtle)
Lineage: Eukaryota; Metazoa; Chordata; Testudines; Dermochelyidae
Exons: 2
Source: RefSeq, a predicted model, not a curated record